This 253-nucleotide ribosomal RNA is filed under the name uncultured bacterium. RNAcentral describes it as "partial 16S ribosomal RNA". It matches the Rfam family "Bacterial small subunit ribosomal RNA", at positions 524 to 776 of the family's 1533-position model. The record is from RNAcentral.
UACGUAGGGGGCAAGCGUUAUCCAGAUUUACUGGGUGUAAAGGGGGCGCAGACGGCAGCGCAAGCCAGGAGUGAAAGCCCGGGGCCCAACCCCGGGACUGCUCUUGGAACUGCGCGGCUGGAGUGCAGGAGGGGCAGGCGGAAUUCCUGGUGUAGCGGUGAAAUGCGUAGAUAUCAGGAGGAACACCGGUGGCGAAGGCGGCCUGCUGGACUGCGACUGACGUUGAGGCCCGAAAGCGUGGGGAGCAAACAGG